AUGGUCCCACGUCGAGCUUCGUGUUUUCUCCACAGCCACAGCAGCACGGUCCCUCGUCGAGCUUCAUGUUUUCUCCACAGCCACAGCAGCACGGUCCCUCGUCCAGCUUCGUGUUUGAGCCAGAGCAGCCGUCACAUCCAGCAGACGGAUAUCAGGCAUCUAUGUCGGCAUCACAUGAUACGUGGGGGAGUGAUCAACAUCCCGAGGAGAACAUACAGGCUCAGAUGUCGCAGCACACCCAGUGGAUGA
This 249-nucleotide ribosomal RNA is filed under the name Triticum aestivum (bread wheat). RNAcentral's name for it is "partial small subunit ribosomal RNA". The record is from RNAcentral. Lineage: Eukaryota; Viridiplantae; Streptophyta; Magnoliopsida; Poales; Poaceae.